Long non-coding RNA from Pogoniulus pusillus (Red-fronted tinkerbird), 725 nucleotides. RefSeq lists it as uncharacterized. The record is from RefSeq and is a predicted model, not a curated record. The transcript has 2 exons. Lineage: Eukaryota; Metazoa; Chordata; Aves; Piciformes; Lybiidae.
CCUACCAAAAGACAAAAAAAUACCAAAACAAACAAACAAACAAAAAACACAACCGGAAAAAACCCUCUCACACCUUCUGCACUGUAAAUCCUGCAGCUGGUUAGGGAAGGCUGCUUUUUGUAUCCGGGCAAGCUGUGCAAACAACCCGAGCUAUGCUGUCUAUCCCAGUCCCGGGAAUUAGCCUCACCUCCAUGAGGUGCGGAUUCCUGAAUAAAGAGCCAAUUGAAAGGCUGAAAUGCUUCUCUCUGUUCUGCUGUGAUUAUGUACUGCACUAGCUGCACAUCCCUGCCUGUGCCUACCCAUCUGUCCUUUAUUGCUGACAGGGUUUAUGAGUGCAAUAUGAUGGAGUAAGAAACAGUGGAUUUUUCCCAAGGAGCCAAGCACAGCUCUUUGUCCUCAGAGAAUGUGGGACGGGAGCAUGAAAUGUGUGGCUUUCCUGCCGCAUAUGCAUCUGCUGCUCCCAUCAGCCUUCAACAGGCCAGCUUCAUCCCCUUCACCUCGCUCAUCAGAUCAGAGACUUGCUGGAUAAAACAAAAAUCAGAAAGGAAAAUCCAACCAACAAACAAAGAAGAAAACAACAAUAAAAAGGAGAAGGAAAAACCCAAACCAAACCAAAAGAAGAAAGCAACAAAAAGGAAACCAAAACCAAACAAAAAAGGAGGAGGGGAGGGGAAAGGAAUAAACACCCCAAAGAAACAAAGCCAAGAAAAAAGAGGAAAAUAAAC